Molecule: RNA transcript, 3454 nt
Organism: Capsicum annuum
Lineage: Eukaryota; Viridiplantae; Streptophyta; Magnoliopsida; Solanales; Solanaceae
Gene name: splicing factor U2af small subunit B
Exons: 6
Source: RefSeq, a predicted model, not a curated record
UCACAAUCACCACCCAUAUAUAACCCCUCUCCCUUCAUCUCAACUCUCCUAUUUCUCUAAGAUUUCCCUAAACGCACAGUUCCCGAGAACCCUAAAUCCCCUCAAGAUGGCGGAACACUUGGCUUCAAUUUUCGGUACAGAAAAGGACAGGGUGAAUUGUCCGUUCUACUUCAAAAUCGGCGCUUGUAGACAUGGAGAUCGAUGUUCGAGGCUUCAUACGAAGCCAAGUAUUAGUCCUACGAUUCUACUUUCCAAUAUGUAUCAACGACCUGAUUCCAUUACACCUGGCGUUGAUGCUCAAGGUCAACCUAUUGAUCCUCGCAAAAUCCAGGAGCAUUUUGAGGAUUUUUAUGAAGACCUGUUUGAAGAACUGAACAAGUAUGGAGAGAUUGAGAGCCUGAAUAUUUGUGAUAAUCUGGCUGAUCACAUGGUUGGUAAUGUUUAUGUUCAGUUUAGAGAGGAAGAGCAGGCUGCAAAUGCUCUGAAGAAUCUUACUGGGAGAUUCUAUGCCGGAAGGCCCAUUAUUGUUGAUUUCUCUCCUGUGACUGAUUUUCGUGAAGCCACCUGUCGACAGUACGAGGAAAAUGUAUGCAACCGCGGUGGAUAUUGCAACUUUAUGCACCUCAAAAAGAUCAGCAGGGACUUGCGACGUCACUUGUUUGGAAGGUAUAGGAGGAGGCAUAGCAGAAGCAGGAGCCGAAGCCCUUAUAGGCAUCAUAGCUUUGAAGAGCGCUCUUACAGGAGUCAUAGUAGAAAGUAUGAUGAAAGGGAUCAUUAUAAUGAGAGUCGGAGCAGGAGGAACAGAAGUACAAGUCCUGGCCAUAGGAGGGGUAGGAGCAGGAGUCCCGGUAGCAGGAGAGACCGAAGUCCAGUUAGGGAUGGCAGUGAAGAGAGACGUGCAAGAAUAGAGCAGUGGAAUCGGGAAAAAGAACAGGCAGAACUUGCUAAUGGGGCUAAUGCAGACAGUAAUGAGAAUGGAUCUGCUCAAAACCAAGAUCAGUAUUAUAAUCAGCAAUGACAAGAGAGUGCAUAUGGAUAACUAAUGAAAAUAUCGUGCAGUGGUUUGUGUCCUUAUCCCUUAUGAUUAUUGAUGCUUUUAUUCUGUCCUAAAGUUAUUAUCCUCUAAAAGGGCCACCUGCCAUGAAGUAUAGCUUAAUGGCCAUUUUGCACUUGCAGGUGGUGCAGGUUUUCAAUUCCUUGAUAAGCAAUCUGAAAAGUUUUCAUCCUUUUUUUUGGGCAUUCUGGCUUUUGAUAUGCUUUUUUCUGUGCAUCACUCACUGCUUACCAUCGCAUCUACCCUUUUGAAACUUCCGGUUCCUGUUUCCAUUUCUGUUUGCCGUUGUUGCCCCUUAUCUUUUCUUCUGAUUGAUGGAACUUCUGUCUGAAACCUUUUGAUUUUCAGCCCUGUAAUGCCAUAUUGCCAUCUUCAUAUGUCUUCUGGAGUCAUACCUUGCCUCCUUUUCUUUCUUGACAGUCGAUGUUUAUCUCACUACUUCACUUCAUUUUUAUGUAUAUGUUUGCUUGUGAAGUUUUAGUUUGAGCGUCAGGUGAAAUUAUCAUCUCAACCAGAAAAGUUGUUUGCAUUUGAACAUAUAUUUCAAGUUAGGAAAUUACUAUUUCAAUUUGAGAUGGUGGUUUGGACAUAUAUUUCAAGUGAAUUUUUAGACUUGAAACAUAACUUCAACUACCUGCCCUAAAUGUUGUGUCAUUUCACUGUGUUUUUCAAUGUUGAAUUUUUGUUUGUGUUGAUUUUUUUUUAAAGGUUGUAACGUGUAUAGUUCUAUGACAUUUUAUUGUUUAUGAAGUGAAAUUCCUUGACAUUUUCCCAUGUAACAUUGUUCAAAUUGCACAAACUAUUGUUUGGGAGAAAUAACUCACUGAUGCAUGUAGUUUAGUUUUGUUCUUGGCUCAUAUUGCAGAACAUAUUGGUGCAAUAUCUCUCUAUAAAGUAGGAAUUGAAUUUAAAUUUGGUGAUGCAGUGACAUAAAUCUAAGGUGCAACUGUAUUUUGUCAUGAUUUUCUUGAACUUCAGAAGCUCAAUGUUUGAAAAGCUUGUCAAAUUGGUGGUAAAUUCUUUGAAUAUCAUACCACUUCCGUGUAGGGGGGGGUUUCUACCUUGAUUUGGUCUAAUAAAGAAGCAAAUGAAAACUAUCAUCAAACAAAGUCUCAUCAUUAUUUGCCUUUUAAAGCAACUUAUUAAGUGUUGUUUCCAUAAAGCAUUGUUGUGCAACCUUUUUGCUUACAGGGCUAAGGGCUUUCCAGUGGAUACCUUAUUCCAUUAUUGUUGGAUAGGAUUUAAUUAUGUAAGAAAAAUAAUAAAAGCCAACCUCACACUUCCUCAUUGGAGCAUCCAUGCAUCUUCUCUUCACAUGUCCGUACAAUCUCAGUAACACUUCCCCCAUCUUGUUCUCCAACGAGGCCACACUGACCUUGUCUUAGAUAUCUUCAUUUCUAAUGCUAUCAUUCCCAGACUGCAAUACAUCCACCGCAACAUCCUUGGUUCCACAACUUUUAUCUUUUGAACAUGAGAGUUUGUAACCACUACUUUUAGAAUUUGCUUUUUUUAAGUUUUGGUGGCAUCUUCUUAUCACAAAGUAAUCCGAACGUGAGCCUCCAUUUCAUCCAUCCUGCACCAAUACUUGAAGGCAAGGUCUGUCUUUUUGUAUUUCGAUUAUUGCAAUCUUUUGUUGUAGUUAUUGUUCCUUUUCUUGGAAUGAUUCGUCAAAUUUUCUGAAGUAUUUUGCCAUGAUUGCUUCACUUCCAUUAUAUCUGCUUUGAUAUGCUUUUUGGAAACUUCAUCUCUUCCUCCCAAGGUAGGGGUACGGUCUCCAUACACCCUACCUUUCCUAGACUCCACUUGUGGGAUUACACUGGGCAUCAUGUUGUUGUUUUAUCAGACAUUUCAGCUUCACACAUUCUUGGUCAUCAAUUUGUUCUUCUUGGUUGUCCAGCUGAAGUUUCCUUUUACCAGCGCUAGUUUUUUAGGUCUUGUAUUUUAGGGGCUUAUGUAAUGAGAGGUAGGUCUAUUGCAGACGACAACAUGCAUCAUUUAUACUUGUAUAAUCUUUUGCAAAUGCAUUGUGUGCUUGUUUGUGCAGUCAGGUUUCUUAUGACCCGAGCUCAUCCAGGUUGUGGAGCCAAGUCAGAGGAUAUAUACCAACAGGUUUGAUUUCACAGGCAUUUGCAGGGACGAGAGAAAGAACAAUGACCGGGCUGCAGUUUGAGACGACAACAUUCACUCUUUCUUAUUCCUUUCGUCUUUGUUUUUUUUUAGGGUAAUGCAACUUCGGAAUACGGUACUGCUGGUUUUGCGUUCUCCUGACUAGCUACUGUUUGCUAUUAUGUUAUGGACUUGUAUGAGAUCUAUUUAAGGUUCAGGAUGCGUAGUUUGUAACUUUUCUAGAAGUGAAUCUUGAUACUGUAUUAUUUAGGUAUUUCAUCUCUGACUUCUUGA